Molecule: long non-coding RNA, 266 nt
Filed under: Hordeum vulgare
Lineage: Eukaryota; Viridiplantae; Streptophyta; Magnoliopsida; Poales; Poaceae
Description: long non-coding RNA (HVUL_LNC012519)
Source: RNAcentral
UCAUUUACUUGAAAACUGGCCAACAUGUAUCAAAUAAAUGUUUUAAGUGUUCUUUAAAUAUAUACAUUGUGUAUCGAUAGAAAGUGGAUGUAUGUUGAAAAAAUAAGACAGGUACAAACCUACCAAAAAGGAAAUAAAACCGAAAAAUAACAAAACAAAACAAAAGUUAACAAAGAAAGAAAAUAAACAAACCAAAGCUAAAGAAAAAAAAUCCCCAAAAAGGGUCAAAAAGCAAACAAAACCAGAGAAAAAAUAAAAUAAAAAAC